GACGAACGCUGGCGGCGUGCCUAAUACAUGCAAGUGGGACGCAAGAGAACACACUGUGCUUGCACACCGUGUUUUCUUGAGUCGCGAACGGGUGAGUAACGCGUAGGUAACCUGCCUAUUAGCGGGGGAUAACUAUUGGAAACGAUAGCUAAUACCGCAUAAUAUUAAUUAUUGCCUGAUAAUUGAUUGAAAGAUGCAAGCGCAUCACUAGUAGAUGGACCUGCGUUGUAUUAGCUAGUUGGUAAGGUAAGAGCUUACCAAGGCGACGAUACAUAGCCGACCUGAGAGGGUGAUCGGCCACACUGGGACUGAGACACGGCCCAGACUCCUACGGGAGGCAGCAGUAGGGAAUCUUCGGCAAUGGACGAAAGUCUGACCGAGCAACGCCGCGUGAGUGAAGAAGGUUUUCGGAUCGUAAAGCUCUGUUGUAAGUCAAGAACGUGUGUGAGAGUGGAAAGUUCACACAGUGACGGUAGCUUACCAGAAAGGGACGGCUAACUACGUGCCAGCAGCCGCAGUAC
This 521-nucleotide ribosomal RNA is filed under the name uncultured bacterium. RNAcentral's name for it is "partial 16S ribosomal RNA". It matches the Rfam family "Bacterial small subunit ribosomal RNA", at positions 28 to 523 of the family's 1533-position model. The record is from RNAcentral.